AAUGAACGCUGGCGGCAUGCCUAACACAUGCAAGUCGAACGAGACCUUCGGGUCUAGUGGCGCACGGGUGCGUAACGCGUGGGAAUCUACCCUUGGGUUCGGAAUAACAGUGGGAAACUACUGCUAAUACCGGAUAAUGACGUAAGUCCAAAGAUUUAUCGCCCAAGGAUGAGCCCGCGUAGGAUUAGCUAGUUGGUGAGGUAAAAGCUCACCAAGGCGACGAUCCUUAGCUGGUCNGAGAGGAUGAUCAGCCACACUGGGACUGAGACACGGCCCAGACUCCUACGGGAGGCAGCAGUGGGGAAUAUUGGACAAUGGGCGAAGCCUGAUCCAGCAAUGCCGCGUGAGUGAUGAAGGCCUUAGGGUUGUAAAGCUCUUUUACCCGGGAUGAUAAUGACAGUACCGGGAGAAUAAGCUCCGCUAACUCCGUG
This 431-nucleotide ribosomal RNA is filed under the name uncultured bacterium. RNAcentral describes it as "bacterial SSU rRNA". It matches the Rfam family "Bacterial small subunit ribosomal RNA", at positions 29 to 507 of the family's 1533-position model. The record is from RNAcentral.